AGCGAACGCUGGCGGCGUGCUUAACACAUGCAAGUCGAGUGCGCAGUUUCCUGUAGCAAUACAGGAAAUGGGCGCACGGCGCACGGGUGCGUAACACGUGGACAAUCUACCCUUUGAUGGGGAAUAACCCGCCGAAAGGCGGGCUAAUACCGCAUAACAUCCCAGUCGCUUCGGCGAUAGGGAUCAAAGCCCGCAAGGGCGUCAUUGGAGGAGUCCGCGGCCGAUUAGCUAGUUGGUGAGGUAAUGGCUCACCAAGGCUUGGAUCGGUAGCCGGUCUGAGAGGACGAUCGGCCACACUGGAACUGAGACACGGUCCAGACUCCUACGGGAGGCAGCAGUGGGGAAUCUUGCGCAAUGGGCGAAAGCCUGAUGCAGCGACGCCGCGUGGGGGAUGAAGCUUCUCGGAGUGUAAACCCCUUUCGACCCGGACGAAUGACCCGCAAGGGUUUGACGGUACGGGGAGAAGAAGCCCCGGCUAACUACGUGCCAGCAGCCGCGGUAAGAC
RNAcentral lists this ribosomal RNA (505 nucleotides) under uncultured bacterium. Its description in RNAcentral is "bacterial SSU rRNA". It matches the Rfam family "Bacterial small subunit ribosomal RNA", at positions 29 to 526 of the family's 1533-position model. The record is from RNAcentral.